This 323-nucleotide long non-coding RNA is filed under the name Ananas comosus (pineapple). RNAcentral describes it as "long non-coding RNA (ACOM_LNC040219)". Lineage: Eukaryota; Viridiplantae; Streptophyta; Magnoliopsida; Poales; Bromeliaceae. The record is from RNAcentral.
UAGAUAACUCUUAGGGCCUGUUUGGUUCGCUUCUUUUUCACCCUGAAAUCGGAAACGGAAUGGAUAAAUCCGUUUGUGGGUGUUUGGCACGUGGGAGUUCCAUUCUGAUUCCGAUUCCCGAGUGGAAUGGGAAUUCCCCAAUCACCUUUUUUUCAAUCCGGCCUAGGAGGCCGGAUUGAAAGUUGAAUCCGGACGGAAUGGAUAUUUAUUCGGAUUAAAUUUAUUUUUUCAACUUUUUUAAUUAAAAUAUGAGUUAAAAUUUUAAAAUUAAAUAUAUAGUUUUAAAUUUUAAUUUAAACUUAAAUUAAAAAUUAAAAUUUAAU